RNAcentral lists this ribosomal RNA (460 nucleotides) under uncultured bacterium. RNAcentral's name for it is "partial 16S ribosomal RNA". It matches the Rfam family "Bacterial small subunit ribosomal RNA", at positions 338 to 795 of the family's 1533-position model. The record is from RNAcentral.
CCUACUGGAGGCAGCAGUGAGGCAUAUUGGUCACUGGGCGCGAGCCUGAACCAGCCAAGUCGCGUGAGGGAUGACGGUCCUACGGAUUGUAAACCUCUUUUGCCGGGGAGCAAGCGUGCGUUCGUGAACGCGCGUCGAGAGUACCCGGUGAAAACGCAUCGGCUAACUCCGUGCCAGCAGACGCGGUAAUACGGAGGAUGCGAGGUUUAUACGGAUUUAUUGGGUUUAAGGGGUGCGUAGUCGGGAUGCCAAGUCAGCGGUAAAAAUCCGGUGCGAAACGCCGGUGAGCCGUGGAAACUGGCGUUAUUGAGUGGGCGAGAAGUAUGCGGAAUGCGUGGUGUAGCGGUGAAAUGCAUAGAUAUCACGCAGAACUCCGAUUGCGAAGGCAGCAUACCGGCGCCCUACUGACGCUGAGGCACGAAAGCGUGGGUAUCGAACAGGAUUAGAUACCCCGGUAGUC